Molecule: ribosomal RNA, 442 nt
Filed under: uncultured bacterium
Lineage: Bacteria
Description: bacterial SSU rRNA
Rfam family: Bacterial small subunit ribosomal RNA
Source: RNAcentral
CCUACGGGGUGCACCAGUGGGGAAUUUUCCGCAAUGGGCGAAAGCCUGACGGAGCAAUGCCGCGUGGAAGUAGAAGGCCCACGGGUCGUGAACUUCUUUUCCCGGAGAAGAAGCAAUGACGGUAUCUGGGGGAUAAGCAUCGGCUAACUCUGUGCCAGCAGCCGCGGUAAUACAGAGGAUGCAAGCGUUAUCCGGAAUGAUUGGGCGUAAAGCGUCUGUAGGUGGCUUUUUAAGUCCGCCGUCAAAUCCCAGGGCUCAACCCUGGACAGGCGGUGGAAACUACCAAGCUGGAGUACGGUAGGGGCAGAGGGAAUUUCCGGUGGAGCGGUGAAAUGCGUAGAGAACGGAAAGAACACCAACGGCGAAAGCACUCCGCUGGGCCGACACUGACACUGAGAGACGAAAGCUAGGGGAGCGAAUGGGAUUAGAUACCCCAGUAGUC